CCAAGAGUUAUGCACCUUUCACCGACGUAAACAACGCACGCCUCGAGUCAAACGUAACGUGCUGCCAUUUCCAUCCGGCAACUGGAUUGUUUUACUUGUUCCAUUGCUGUCUUUUGAUAGUAAGAAGAACACAGGGGCACAGCAGGUCGUGCCCAGUCUGCGAUCCAAUUCAAGCCAAGGCAUUGCACUUCACAUCAAUCACCACCAUAUGAUUUAAAAGGCGUUGCUUACAAACCUGAAUAACAAUUCCACAUUUUCUUUUGAAGAUCUAAGAAAGAUCAGAGAACAGAAAGACUAGCUGUAAUACAAUGGCUCGAGCCUCAUACAGGAGAAGAUCAAGGCCAAGACGACGACGGCAGAGUCGGGGGCAGCCAGAUGAUGGAGCAGGAAAUAUGCUCAGGAUUGCUGUGCCUGUGCUAACUAUUGGAAUUUGCAUGCUUGUUGGAUAUAUCUACUUCACCUCAAUCCCUGAAGAUGAAUGAAUUUGAAUCAAGAGUGUGGUGGUUGAAGUUGUGGACAGCAGUUUAUCUAUGCAGCCAAACAUCUAUAAUGAGGGUUAAACCUAUGAUCAAUAUCAUGAUCAUUCAACAUACAAGACUUCCUGUUGGAAUGUUUGUUUUGAGGAUUGUCACAGGUCUUCCAUCGCAUGUUGCUCAAUCUGAUGCACAUUCAAAAGCACACACAUGCAAACGGCACAGAGCACGUGGAAUUUGAGAUUAGGUUAGCAAGCAGCAAUAAAAAGGGUCUUGUUGCAAAGCUCUGAACCUUGUUACAACAGAGAAAGCUGUUGAAAGGUGUAAAUGAAAUUAAGUGUGCAUUAAGUAUAUCUAGAUGGAGAGAAACAUUUUCUAUGCAUAACUCUCUGUCAGCACUGGAUCACUUUUUUCGUUCCAAGCUAAGAUAACUCUGUCUCAUGAAAGUUGGUUUUUUUAUUCACCAGUGGCCAUUAAUAUUUGAGUGAGACUGGAAAUAUUGAAUAUUUUUGUCAUUUAUGAUUCUCCACAUGCAAGAUUGUCAUACUUUUGUGUGAUGAAACUACAUUCCACUCAAUAAAAAGCAGGGUGCAUUCAUAGGACUUUUGUCCCAUUCAGUAUUGCUUAAAUUACUGUUUAAUUUAGACUUAACAGCUGCUGGUGAAUUCCUGGUACUCAUACUUCUCACUGCCUUUUUAAAUGUGACCUGACCUCUUCCACUAGUAUUAUUUGUUUGGGCAGAUUUGUGGACAGAUCCUUGUGCUGCAGCAUUUUAUUUUUUUCACUGUUGGACCAGUCUAGUCAUUCUUUCAAGGUGCAACACAGCUGAAUGUUUAGUGCCCUAACUGAUAUGAUUUCAUCAUAAAAGGCAGCUGCCUACUUGUUUAUUACUAUUGUAUUAAACAAUAGCUUUUUGCAAGUA
Pomacea canaliculata is the source of this 1395-nucleotide long non-coding RNA. RefSeq lists it as uncharacterized. The transcript is spliced from 2 exons. The record is from RefSeq and is a predicted model, not a curated record. NCBI's taxonomy places the organism in Eukaryota, Metazoa, Mollusca, Gastropoda, Architaenioglossa, Ampullariidae.